CUACGGGAGGCAGCAGUGAGGAAUAUUGGACAAUGGGUGCAAGUCUGAUCCAGCCAUGCCGCGUGCAGGAAGACGGCCCUAUGGGUUGUAAACUGCUUUUAUACGGGAAGAAACACCCCUCUUAGAAAUUGACGGUACCGUAAGAAUAAGGACCGGCUAAUCCGUGCCAGCAGCCGCGGUA
This 181-nucleotide ribosomal RNA is filed under the name uncultured Gaetbulibacter sp. RNAcentral describes it as "partial 16S ribosomal RNA". It matches the Rfam family "Bacterial small subunit ribosomal RNA", at positions 339 to 522 of the family's 1533-position model. Lineage: Bacteria; Pseudomonadati; Bacteroidota; Flavobacteriia; Flavobacteriales; Flavobacteriaceae. The record is from RNAcentral.